This 401-nucleotide ribosomal RNA is filed under the name uncultured bacterium. RNAcentral describes it as "bacterial SSU rRNA". It matches the Rfam family "Bacterial small subunit ribosomal RNA", at positions 30 to 431 of the family's 1533-position model. The record is from RNAcentral.
AUUGAACGCUGGCGGCAUGCUCAACACAUGCAAGUCGAACGGUAACAGGCCCUUCGGGGUGCUGACGAGUGGCGGACGGGUGAGUAAUGCUUAGGAAUCUGCCUAGCAGUGGGGGAUAACCCGGGGAAACUCGGGCUAAUACCGCAUACGCCCUACAGGGGAAAGCGGGGGACUUUCGGGCCUCGCGCUAUUAGAUGAGCCUAAGUCCGAUUAGCUAGUUGGUAGGGUAAUGGCCUACCAAGGCGACGAUCGGUAGCUGGUCUGAGAGGACGACCAGCCACACUGGGACUGAGACACGGCCCAGACUCCUACGGGAGGCAGCAGGUGGGGAAUAUUGGACAAUGGCGCAAGCCUGAUCCAGCGAUGCCGCGUGUGUGAAGAAGGCCUGCGGGUUGUAAAGC